RNAcentral lists this ribosomal RNA (497 nucleotides) under uncultured bacterium. RNAcentral describes it as "partial 16S ribosomal RNA". It matches the Rfam family "Bacterial small subunit ribosomal RNA", at positions 28 to 507 of the family's 1533-position model. The record is from RNAcentral.
GAUGAACGCUGGCGGCGUGCCUAAUACAUGCAAGUCGAGCGAACAGACGAGGAGCUUGCUCCUCUGACGUUAGCGGCGGACGGGUGAGUAACACGUGGAUAACCUACCUAUAAUACUGGGAUGACUUCGGGAAACCGGAGCUAAUACCGGAUAAUAUAUUGAACCGCAUGGUUCAAUAGUGAAAGACGGUUUUGCUGUCACUUAGAGAUGGAUCCGCGCCGCAUUAGCUAGUUGGUAAGGUAACGGCUUACCAAGGCGACGAUGCGUAGCCGACCUGAGAGGGUGAUCGGCCACACUGGAACUGAGACACGGUCCAGACUCCUACGGGAGGCAGCAGUAGGGAAUAUUCCGCAAUGGGCGCAAGCCUGACCGAGCCACGCCGCGUGAGUGAUGAAGGUCUUCGGAUCGUAAAACUCUGUUAUUAGGGAAGAAAAAAUGCGUAAGUAAACAUGGCUGUUCUGACGGUACCUAAUCAGAAAGCAACGGCUAACUACGUG